UGAGGCAGGAGAAUUGCUUGAACCCAGGAGGUGGAGGUUGCAGUGAGCCGAGAUCGUGCCACUGCACUCCAGCCUGGGUGACAAAACAAGACUCCAUCUC
Molecule: microRNA precursor, 100 nt
Filed under: Rhinopithecus bieti (black snub-nosed monkey)
Lineage: Eukaryota; Metazoa; Chordata; Mammalia; Primates; Cercopithecidae
Description: miRNA (ENSRBIG00000017964.1)
Source: RNAcentral